This 328-nucleotide ribosomal RNA is filed under the name Chloromyia formosa. RNAcentral's name for it is "partial 12S ribosomal RNA". The record is from RNAcentral. Lineage: Eukaryota; Metazoa; Arthropoda; Insecta; Diptera; Stratiomyidae.
GAGUAGUAAUAGUUAUGUUCUUGAAACUUAAAGAAUUUGGCGGUAUUUUAAUCUAUUCAGAGGAACCUGUUCUAUAAUCGAUAAUCCACGAGGACUUUACUUAAACUUGUUUACAAUUUGUAUACCGCCGUUAUUGAUUAUCUUGUAAGAGAAAUAAUUUUCUUAAUUUUUUAAAAAUAUAUCAGGUCAAGGUGCAGUUUAUGUUUAAGGAAGAAAUGGGUUACAAUAACUUUAUUUAAACGGAAAUUUAAUUGAAAUAUUAUAUAGAAGGCGGAUUUGAUAGUAAAGUAAUGAAUUUAGUUAACUUGAUUGUAGCUCUAAAAUAUGU